This 211-nucleotide unclassified non-coding RNA is filed under the name Hevea brasiliensis (rubber tree). The record is from RNAcentral. Lineage: Eukaryota; Viridiplantae; Streptophyta; Magnoliopsida; Malpighiales; Euphorbiaceae.
CUCAGUUCACCUCAAACCGUAUCCGAAAAACAGCACUGUAGCCACUAGAUGGGAGAGAAUCAAGGUACAAAAGCAUUACAUCAUUUACUACGCCAAGCUAGUCAGCUUGAUUAUAGACGCCAUCCUCCUGCAUUCCAUCACGGCUUGCCGCCGGGGACGAGCCCUCCGCCGGGAAGACUACCUACACCCGGCAGCCCUCCUCCUACAGCAG